UUUUUUUUUUUUUAACAAAAACUGAAUUAUACCGCCGUCCCUGUCCCUAGACCAAGUGACAAAGGGCUUGGAGGUUGAUACUCGAAACCCAAGUUCGAAUCCUAGUUGAUUCACAUUUCCAGUUAAGUUUAUUUCUGUUAGGAGUCGAAAAUCUCCGAUCCUCGACCGGAUCAAAGGUCCUUCUCGGAGAGCGUGUUGGGGUGAAAAUAGCUUCGGAUAAUGACCCUCGAAGUUUGCGCCCUUCGAUUGAUCAAACGAUUAGGCUGAUAAGAGAUCGGAUUAGCCGGGUUCGAAACCUCUACUGUAGAAUCGGUUCGGCUGGAUGAGCCGAAUGUAUAGAAUGUACAGAAACUAGAGUCGGCUGAAGAAUGGAUAAAAACACAAAGUGUGGUCGGCUGAAAGAGCCGAAUACCUUUAUAUAUUAAUAAAACAGAGUGUGCCCGAAGGGCAUACAGACUCUGAAAAUAUAGUUUACAACAGAAUGUGCCCGUGGGGCAUACAGACUCUAGAGAUCUAUCUUAAAAACUGCUCCUAGGAAAGCAGUAAAUGCAGAAAAGGAAAUAAAAAAUAAAAUAAAAUAAAUAUUGAAUGGA
RNAcentral lists this long non-coding RNA (593 nucleotides) under Ananas comosus (pineapple). RNAcentral describes it as "long non-coding RNA (ACOM_LNC023063)". Lineage: Eukaryota; Viridiplantae; Streptophyta; Magnoliopsida; Poales; Bromeliaceae. The record is from RNAcentral.